AUAUGAAGGUGCAAGCUAACUGUAAUAACCUUGUAGGGUUAGACGAGACAGUUAAGACGCAAUUAUUUUUAAAUAUUUACAAUUUUACAUAUGAGAUAUCAGUACUUGCUCCGAGCGGCUACAGAAAGAUCAUACAUUGUACUUCUUAUUAAAUGUCUUCCAUUCAUUCACAAUUUUUGAAGAACAGCAAUGACCAUGCAUUAGGUUUUUAGAUAACCAAGAAACAAAAUUUCAUUAAACAUGUCAAAAAGUUUGGGGGGGGGGAUAAUUAGAUAUUCGUCCCCCCCUACUCCAAAAACUGCGGGACAUGCCCCCCCAUCCCCAAGGAUUGACGCCCAUGCCCAUGUAUUUUUCUGUUUAUUAUAGAAAGGGCAACAAUUUUGCCAGGGAAUGUCCGACUGGCUAUCCCUGUGAUGCUGUCCACUGUUUACCCAGUGUUCUUUUAAGCAAAUGUGCUAGCUGCUCAAAAAUGCAAAAUCUUUCAAGCCUGUGGAUACAAUACUGAAGUGAAAAGCUUCAGUAGAUUUACAUGCAAGAAUAUUUUUUUGAGCGCCCCUUUUUGCAUGAUAUUUUUUUUCUCGAUUGUAUGCUGCAUGAUUUUUUCUUUCUUUCUCCUUGGGUUGCAGGAAUAUUUUUUUUGAAAUCUUC
Non-coding RNA from Paramuricea clavata, 648 nucleotides. The record is from the annotation of a GenBank genome assembly. NCBI's taxonomy places the organism in Eukaryota, Metazoa, Cnidaria, Anthozoa, Malacalcyonacea, Plexauridae.